Molecule: ribosomal RNA, 489 nt
Filed under: uncultured bacterium
Lineage: Bacteria
Description: partial 16S ribosomal RNA
Rfam family: Bacterial small subunit ribosomal RNA
Source: RNAcentral
AUUGAACGCUGGCGGCAGGCCUAACACAUGCAAGUCGAACGGUAACAGGGAUCAGCUUGCUGAUUCGCUGACGAGCGGCGGACGGGUGAGUAAUGUCUGGGAAACUGCCUGAUGGAGGGGGAUAACUACUGGAAACGGUAGCUAAUACCGCAUAACGUCGCAAGACCAAAAGGGGGGCCUUCGGGCCUCUUGCCAUCGGAUGUGCCCAGAUGGGAUUAGCUAGUAGGUGGGGUAACGGCUCACCUAGGCGACGAUCCCUAGCUGGUCUGAGAGGAUGACCAGCCACACUGGAACUGAGACACGGUCCAGACUCCUACGGGAGGCAGCAGUGGGGAAUAUUGCACAAUGGGCGCAAGCCUGAUGCAGCCAUGCCGCGUGUAUGAAGAAGGCCUUCGGGUUGUAAAGUACUUUCAGCGGGGAGGAAGGGAGUAAAGUUAAUACCUUUGCUCAUUGACGUUACCCGCAGAAGAAGCACCGGCUAACUCCGUG